Molecule: microRNA precursor, 65 nt
Organism: Lottia gigantea (owl limpet)
Lineage: Eukaryota; Metazoa; Mollusca; Gastropoda; Lottiidae
Rfam family: mir-1990 microRNA precursor family
Source: Rfam
UCGUGCAGUAAGUUGAUGGGGUCCCAGGUUAUUUUGUCCCGGGACUACGUCAACUACUAGCACGC